GAUGAACGCUAGCUACAGGCUUAACACGUGCAAGUCGAGGGGAAACGACAUCGAAAGCUUGCUUUUGAUGGGCGUCGACCGGCGCACGGGUGAGUAACGCGUAUCCAACCUGCCCAUCACUUGGGGAUAACCUUGCGAAAGUAAGACUAAUACCCAAUGAUAUCUCUAGAAGACAUCUGAAAGAGAUUAAAGAUUUAUCGGUGAUGGAUGGGGAUGCGUCUGAUUAGCUUGUUGGCGGGGUAACGGCCCACCAAGGCAACGAUCAGUAGGGGUUCUGAGAGGAAGGUCCCCCACAUUGGAACUGAGACACGGUCCAAACUCCUACGGGAGGCAGCAGUGAGGAAUAUUGGUCAAUGGGCGAGAGCCUGAACCAGCCAAGUAGCGUGCAGGAAGACGGCCCUAUGGGUUGUAAACUGCUUUUAUAAGGGAAUAAAGUGAGAGUCGUGACUCUUUUUGUAUGUACCUUAUGAAUAAGGACCGGCUAAUUCCGUG
Molecule: ribosomal RNA, 492 nt
Filed under: uncultured bacterium
Lineage: Bacteria
Description: partial 16S ribosomal RNA
Rfam family: Bacterial small subunit ribosomal RNA
Source: RNAcentral